AGCGUAUCCGGAUUUAUUGGCGUAAAGCGAGCGCAGGCGGUUUUUAAGUCUGAUGUGAAGCCCUCGGCUUAACCGAGGAAGCGCAUCGGAAACUGGGAAACUUGAGUGCAGAAGAGGACAGUGGAACUCCAUGUGUAGCGGUGAAAUGCGUAGAUAUAGGAAGAACACCAGUGGCGAAGGCGGCUGUCUGGUCUGUAACUGACGCUGAGGCUCGAAAGCAUGGGUAGCGAACAGGAUUAGAUACCCUGGUAGUCCAUGCCGUAAACGAUGAAUGCUAGGUGUUGGAGGGUUUCCGCCCUUCAGUGCCGCAGCUAACGCAUUAAGCAUUCCGCCUGGGGAGUACGACCGCAAGGUUGAAACUCAAAGGAAUUGACGGGGGCCCGCACAAGCGGUGGAGCAUGUGGUUUAAUUCGAAGCAACGCGAAGAACCUUACCAGGUCUUGACAUCUUUUGAUCACCUGAGAGAUCAGGUUUCCCCUUCGGGGGCAAAAUGACAGGUGGUGCAUGGUUGUCGUCAGCUCGUGUCGUGAGAUGUUGGGUUAAGUCCCGCAACGAGCGCAACCCUUAUGACUAGUUGCCAGCAUUUAGUUGGGCACUCUAGUAAGACUGCCGGUGACAAACCGGAGGAAGGUGGGGAUGACGUCAAAUCAUCAUGCCCCUUAUGACCUGGGCUACACACGUGCUACAAUGGAUGGUACAACGAGUUGCGAGACCGCGAGGUCAAGCUAAUCUCUUAAAGCCAUUCUCAGUUCGGACUGUAGGCUGCAACUCGCCUACACGAAGUCGGAAUCGCUAGUAAUCGCGGAUCAGCACGCUCGCGGUGAAUACGUUCCCGGGC
RNAcentral lists this ribosomal RNA (838 nucleotides) under Lacticaseibacillus paracasei. Its description in RNAcentral is "bacterial SSU rRNA". It matches the Rfam family "Bacterial small subunit ribosomal RNA", at positions 537 to 1379 of the family's 1533-position model. The record is from RNAcentral. Lineage: Bacteria; Bacillati; Bacillota; Bacilli; Lactobacillales; Lactobacillaceae.